GACGAACGCUGGCGGCGUGCUUAACACAUGCAAGUCGAGCGAGACUUUCUCUUCGGAGGGAUGCUCUAGCGGCGAACGGGUGAGUAACACGUGGGCAACCUGCCCCUAGCUCUGGGAUAAGCCCGAGAAAUCGGGUCUAAUACUGGAUAUUCACGACAUAGGGCAUCUUGUGUUGUGGAAAGGUUUUCUGGCUGGGGAUGGGCCCGCGGCCUAUCAGCUUGUUGGUGGGGNGAUGGCCUACCAAGGCGACGACGGGUAGCCGGCCUGAGAGGGCGACCGGCCACACUGGGACUGAGACACGGCCCAGACUCCUACGGGAGGCAGCAGUGGGGAAUAUUGCACAAUGGGCGGAAGCCUGAUGCAGCGACGCCGCGUGAGGGAUGACGGCCU
Molecule: ribosomal RNA, 390 nt
Filed under: uncultured bacterium
Lineage: Bacteria
Description: partial 16S ribosomal RNA
Rfam family: Bacterial small subunit ribosomal RNA
Source: RNAcentral